This 2023-nucleotide long non-coding RNA is filed under the name Homo sapiens (human). RNAcentral describes it as "HSALNT0202295". Lineage: Eukaryota; Metazoa; Chordata; Mammalia; Primates; Hominidae. The record is from RNAcentral.
GUUAGCAAUUAUUAAAUGGUUUGUUAAAAAAUACAAUAAAAACAGAAUUAAGGUAGGAGAAUUGCUCACCCAGGUGUUUGAGAUCAGCCUGGGAUAACAAAGUGAGACCCUAUCUCUGCAAAAAAAUUUAAUAAUUAGCUGGGUGUGGAUAUGUGUGCUUAUAUUCCCAGCUACUGGGGAGGCUGAGGCAAGAGGAUUGCUUGAGCUCAGGAGCUUGAGGCUGCAGUGAGAUAUGAUCAUACCAUUGCACUCAUUCUAGCCUGGGCAACAAAGCCAGAUUCUUUCUCAGAAAAACAAACAAACAAAAACAAAAAAAAAACCACCCCAGAAAAACAAAACAAAACAAAAAACAACAAAUAAUUUGGGAGCAUUAGCUUGUUUGUAAAAUCACUAUAAAGGACGAUAAAAUGGUAAAAUGGUGAACUUCCAUGUGCUAGAAUUAAAGCCCUCCCAAAAUUGUGGAUAGAUAUUCAUGAAAUGGGGAAAUUCCUACAGAUUCAGAAGCAAAGUAGCUAGUCAAUGAUUCAUGAAUAAUUGUGUUAACAGCCCAUGCGGAUUCCCUGGGAACUCUCUACAUGCGAGUGUCCCAACAGGCUUCCAUCACCAUGAUUAUGUAAAGCAAAAUGAGGAAAUUCCCUGAUUGUUUCCAUAUCAGUUGGGCUUUAAGUCCUCCCUUGGCUGUAUUUCUUCUCCUUCACGGUAUCUUUGAUGAUGAUUUUAACCAAGUGUUACCUGUAUGCAAAUAUUUUGUACAAAUAUUUCCACUGAAGAUACAAAAUAAAAGUUUUUCCAGAUAAAAAGCUUCGUAGGAUUGGCCCAGAAUGGAUAACAUUUUUAUUUUGAGACAGGGGCUCACUCUGUCACCCAGGCUGGAGUGUAGUGGUGAUCACAGCUCACUGAAACCUCUGCCUCCUGGGCUCAAGUGAUCCUCCUACCUCUCAGCUUCCUGAGUAGCUGGGACUACUGUUGCCUGCAACUGUGUGCCUGGAAAUCCCUUUUUUUUUUGGUAGAGACAGAGUUUCACCAUGUUGCCCAAGCUGGACUUGAACACCUGGGAUCAAGCGACCCACCAGCCUCCACCUUCCUGAGUGCCAGGAUUACAGGCAUGAGCCACUGCGCCUGUAAUAACAAUUUAGGGGAUAUGUUAUUUACCUAUUGCAGCAUAAAAAUUACUCCAAAGCAUACUGGCUUAAAACAACAAAUAUUUAUUAUGUCAAAGUAGGUCAAAAAUCUUGGUGUAUUUCAGCAGAGUGUUUGUGGUUCAGAGUUUUUCACAAGGUGUUGCCUGGGCUGCAGUCACCUCAAGGCACAACAGGGGGAAGAUCUGGUUUCACAUUCAUUCAAGUGGCUAUUGACAGGCCUCACGUCCUCAUUAGCUAUUGGCUUGUUCCUUUCCAUGUGGGUCUUUCCACAAGGCAGCUUACAACAUGGCAGCUGGCUUCUCUCAGAGCAAGUCAGCGAAAGAGUGAAAUAGAGCAAGCAAGGUGGAAGCCAAACUGUUCAAAAUCUAAUUUCAGAAGUACCAUCCUGUCACUUUUGCUGUAUUCUAUCCACUAAAAGGAAGUCACUAGAUCCAGUCUACAAUCAGAAGAAAAAAUUACACACAGACAAAAAUUGACAAAUGAAAGCCAUCUUAGAAGUUGUCUACCACAGAAGGGGCAGUUGUUUUCCAGAAUUACCUCAAAGGAAAGCACAACAGUCAGACGUGAAAUGGAAACAGAAAAAUCUUCUGAAGCAGAAUAGUAACGCUGUGAAUUUAAAAGUAAUGGGUCCCAGCAGAAGAAAAAAGCAUCCCUCCUACCUCAUUUCUCCUUUCGGAGGCUAGCAGGAAAUUAAAAAAGGAAAGGAGUUUCAUGCAGUAUUUCUUACAGCAAAUUUCUCAGAAUCCAGAGAUACUUCUUUUCUCUGUAAUAAGUUGCUGCAGAUACAAAGGAACACUUAUGAUUGAUGACUAUCUCUGUUUGCAUGAGCAAUAAUUCCUGAACACACAGUUCUUGAUUAAAAUACAAAUGCAUUUUCAACU